AUUCAUUGACAUAUUUCAAGAAAGAGGCCAAUUAAGGACAUCAUCAUACAUGAUAUCAGGAAUGUUGACACCUAAAUGAUCAUGAGAAUCAAGUGUUGAUGAUAGUGUGACAUCCUUUUCUGGAUCAUCAAAAGUUAGUCCAGAGAGGUAAUCAUUUGAAGAAGGAGGAGGAUGAACAAUCUCUUCCUUGCAAUCCUCCCUUUUCACUGAUGAUGAUGAUGUUGAUGGAUAAGAAGAUGAGAGAAAAGGGCAAUCUUGUUUGGCUGGUGUUGGGAAAGAGUUGUCAAAGCUAAGGAACAUGGAAGACUGGUCACAAGGAGAAUCCAUUAUGAUCUCAGAGCUUUGCAAGAUUCUACAAGUAUGAUGGGCAUAGUAGGUUGUUUUGUAAAGAGGUGGAUCCUCUUGAAUUUGUUGCACUUGUUUUGUUGCUUUGCAACCUUGAUCAUGUUUGUGAGUGCACCUGUAAUAGUUCCUGCAAAGCAUAUAUAAAUAAAUAUAUAUUCCCAUAGUGAAAAUUAAUUAAUUUGAAAAUCAAUAAUUAACAUGAUAAUUUGUUCAAAUAGUGAAGUUUGUGCUUAAUUAAACUCGUAAAAAUAUAUAUACCUUGGAAAAUCGGUGUGCAAGAUCUUUUUUUGCCCAUACUUUCUCCAUUGAUGACCAUCUUCCACAGGACGAUCAGACUCCUUCUCCCAUGUUUGUGAAACUUUUCUGAAAAAUAAUUACAUAAUUGGAUAAGUUUUCUAAUUGUACCAAAAAAACUCAAAACCAAGUAGGACUAUGAAACAAUCAAAUAAUUUUACUGUGUCAGCCAAAACCAUAAUAACUAGAGGAAACAACAAAAUAAAUAAAAAUGAGAGGGCAUAAUUACAACCUAGUCCUUUCAUCACAUGUAGUGGAUAUGAUGACAAUGAUGAUGAACAAUAAUUGAUAGUGUCCAAUAUUACUCAUAUAUGUAAAGGACAACCAAUAAUAAGUACUAUUAAUUAGAAAUUAUAAUCGCUAAUCAUGCUAAAGAACAAACUACACAUUACCUCAUCUAAAAGUUCAAAUAAAAUUGAAAUUAUAUAACUCAAGAAAUAAGAGAAGAAAAAUAAAAUUAAAAAAUCAGCUAAAAUAAAAUACUUUCCGAAGAGAAAAAAAGAAAGAAAAACACUAUAUAUAUUAAAACUAUGUAUAUAGCUAGAUAUGUUGGGAGAGAUCCAUGAAUAGUGUGUUUGAAAAACCAUAGGUUAAAAUACCUUCUUUUGUAACAGCCUCUACGUUCCUUAACAAUGGAAGUACUCUUGCAAUUACUCUCUAAAGAAUCCUCAGAUUUGGUGAGUUGCAUAUCAGAGCCUUCUGAAGUAGGAUUAUUGUUCAAGAACAAUAGGGAAUUAGUAAAGGUUGUAAGCACUUCCUUUAAAAGAUCUUCAGCAAAUGGUGUUGUUGAUCCAUUAAUAUCAUCAAAAUCACCACUUUCAUUCAGAAUAUUUUUUAGUUGGUUUGCAAGUUCACGCCCUCUUCGUAAUUCAUCAAUUACUUUUCCACGACCACUACCAUGAGCUAGAUUUUCAUUUUUCAUUUUUGGUAUUGAAAUCUUGGGAAGCUAGAUAUUGGUUUACUUUGUCACACUAGAUUUUUUUUUCUCUAUCUCAAAGAAUACACAUAAACACUGAGCUCUUAUAUAAUAUAUAUAUAUAUAGAGAGGUGAGUGUAGUGUGGAUGUGUAAUAUGCCUUUGCACAUGCAUAGAAGUUUGGAGGAACCUUGGCAUGAAAUUUCCAACCCAUUUUAACAAGAAACUUAGCUUCAAACGCGCGACAUGAAAGCGUGAUAUACACAACGGUUUAGGAUGUAUUAUAUGAAACGUGUAUGGCUUUGGAUCCUCGCGUGAAACAUUGAAUGGAGGAUAGCGCGUGGGUAACAAAUGCUUACGGAGAAGUGGUGACGUCAUCAAAAAGUAGUGUGAUACGUCAUGAACAGGUGGCGUGUUUUGAUUGGUUACCAGGCGAGUAACAGUCGCCAAUGUUUUUGGCUGGUGUGGAAAUGAAAACGUCUAUUUUGCCCCUGGAAUAUUUUACCCCUGAAAUUGGAUUUUUUGCGAAUAUAGAAGAAACCUUGAGGUACGGACAAGAAGAGGGUCGUUUGCAAAGUUGGGUGCCCUACAAUACAUAAGCUUGGAUAAGGUUCAAAAUGGGGCAUCUAUUCAAUGUUGUUAUAAAUUUAAAACAACAAAAUAGGUAUACCAGAAGAAAUUAAAAUUAAAAAAAGAUUCGCAUAUGUUUUAAAAUAGACUAUACAAAUUUAUUUUCACAUAUAGGCUCGGGCCACUACAUUUUUUUUUAUCGGAAUUUGAACCUCGAACCUAUAUUAUGUAUUUUCUCUACCAACUGAGCUAAGCUCACGAGAAUCAGGCCCGACCUUGAGGGUGUGUAAGGUGCUCAACCAGGCCCGGCCUUCAAAUGCUACGGGCCUCUAACGAAAAAUUAAAUUUAAUACCCACCCCACACUUAAAUAAAAGGCUUAAUUGCACUUUUGGACCCCUAUCUUUCCAAAAGUUGCGGUUAUGGACCCCUAACUAAUUUAAAUACAAAGCAGCCGCCUAUGUUUUGAUUCUUUGACAGUUUUGAACCCCCAGUACAGUGUUGACUCGGUCAACGUUGACGUGGCACCCUAAGUGAGGUGCCACGUGUCAAAUUUUUUAUUUUUAUUUUGCCUUGGGGGGCCAAGGCAAAAUAUUUUGUAGGUACUCUUUAAACUCUGAGGUAUUUCAUAUCUUCGAUUGGGACAUCAUUCAUUCACACUAAAUUUUAAUAUUUAAAAAUAUUAAAUCAAAUGUUUAUACUUAAUGAACUAUGUUAAAGAAGUUAUUCCCAUGAGAGGUUGAGAUUUGAACCUUGAAUUCAUCACUUAUUCACUUUAAUGAUGAAUUUCUAAUCCAUGAACUAUUUGACCAAAAUAAUAAAAAUAAAAAACGCAGUUAUAACAUUCUUAACAUUUUAAUUCUUAUGUUGUCCCUUCAAACCAAUUCACCCAUCUAAUGAAUGGGUCAUAGUAAUUUAUAAUUUGGUAUAAAGGUAAAUAAAGUCUAGCUAAAUGAUUGUCAUACCCCAAAUUUGGCCCGUUUAAAAUUUUUUUUACUCGUUUUCUUUUACCAUUUAAAACUCAUUUAUUUGUCAUUUUUACUUUUCAUUUUUUGUUUUGUUUAUUAUUAUGUCAUUUUUUUUUAUUUUUUCUUUGAAAAAAAAAAGAGAAAAAAAAAAAACAACAAAGAAAGGGGAGUCACUCACGUGACCCUUCCCUCUUUUCUUUCCUCCUUUCUUUUAUUUUAUUAUUAUUAUUAUUAUUAUCUUUUAUUUGUUAAACUUUGUCUCCAAGUUUUCAGCAGGGGCAUUUUUGGUAUUAGUUCUGUGCCUGAGCCAACCCUAGUUUGUCUCUAUAAAUACACUGUCAAUCAUUGGGAAAUGGGUCCGAAAUUACUGUUCAUGAGUCAGAGAAUUCUGCAGUCACCAAUCACCAUCAGAAACACCUUUCAUUUUCUCUUUCUUCCCUUUUUCAAAUCAGAUACACAAAAUUCACAAAGUUCAUCAUGAACAUCGUAUGAACAUGAUGAACACAGAUUUUUCCAGUAACAAAUUCCAGACUCAAAAUCAUCAAACAACAACAUUAUUUUCGUGAAUCCUACACCAGCAAUUUAUUUUCUUUCGAAAUCCAACAAACACAAAGAAUCACGAAAUCAAAGUAUAGAAGAAGGAGGAAACCGAACCGGAUUCAAGCAAGAGGAGGAGAACGAACCGGAUGCAAGCAAGAGGAAGGAGAACCGCGACGGAUUCAACUUGAGGUAAAAAUCUAAACUCAGAUCUACUCCUUUUGGGACUUGUUUUCAAAAAUCUAAGUUCGGAUUCAUGUAAAGCAGGAAAAAGGAUCUUUAAAAACGUAAAAAAAAUUUCGAACGGAGGUGUUUUGAUUCUCCGGCGCGGCGGCGCCGCCUGUUGGCCGGCGGCCACCACGCCGGAAACGGACCAGCUCGCCGGAGAAGAAGGCUGCACUUGCAGACCUUCUCUCACUAAAAAUGUUUUAGAGAGAGGGAGGAAGGAGGAAAUGAGAAAAAACCGGUCCAAAACUCCUUUUAUAAGCAUGUGUGAUCCGGUCUGGUUCAUCUGAACCGGACCGGUCCAUCUGAUUCCUCUUUCCCUUCUUUCUGAAUCAUUAGAUCUUUCCUCCUCUUUUAAUCUAACGGUCCUGUAUGUGUGAUCCAUGGUGAUACCUUGUACAUCUUCAGAUCUAGACUGAUUGAUCUUUAAUCUAACGGUCAGGGAUGAUUCUGUUUAGAUCACACGCGUGUUCUUUGUUUACAGUCUUCCGUGUUCUGUUUGUUUAACCGUUGGAUCUUAGAUCCUAUGGCUGUGAGGAGAUCUUGGGAUUCAGAUCUGGACCUCUGGAUUCAUCCAACGGUCCAGAUUAGAUCCUGCUGAGCCAAUUUUGUUUUUUUUUAAUUAAUUGUUCUUUAUCAUUUUUUAAUUCUUUUUGCACUUUUUUUUGACAUUUUAAUGCUUUUAAAAAUUCCAAAAAUAUUGUUCUUAUUAUCUUAAUUUUCUCUAAUUUUUUUUAAAACCCAUCCCAUUUGUUUUCUUUUAAAAUUUUCUAUUUAUUUCUUAUAUGAUGAUCUUAAUUGUUGCUUGUCUUUAUUCCUUGCUUUUUUAUUUCUUAUGUCUCAUUCAUCAUAAUAUUUCUUGUGAUUACUAACUAUUUAUUUAUUUAUUUUUUUUGUCUUGAAUCAUAGCAUGCACAUUUAAUUUUCCCAUUAUUUUAUUUUGUCAUUGACUUAGUGUGUAUAAAUAGGAAAUUGGUGUAAUUUUAUUUCUUGCAUUUUUAUUUUGGCAUAAAGGCCUUAGGGUCGUAUUUAGGAAUUGAUGUAAUAAUGUAGGUAACACAAGCACCGACACAUGCACCGACACUACCACGUUUUAUUUACCGCUUUCCGUUAGUUUUUACGACGUUACGUUAGUUUUCACCGUUAGUUUAGAAAAAAUCAUUUUCUCAAAAAGUCAAAUAUGCAAAACUUCAAAAAUCAUUUUCUUAAUAACAUUUUUCCUUUAUUUUUCUUAAUCAAACUCUCAAUCAAUUUUAAUUCAACUUCAAUCAUUUUCAAAAUUUAAAAUCAAUUAACCUCACUCAUUUCUUUUAUCUCAUGCCUUGAGGCCUCUUUCUCUUCUUAAAACCCAUUUCGAAAAAUCUUAAAAUCAACCUAACCCACUAAAGAAAUUUUUGAGUGGAACUACGUCGGUUUUGAUCCCUUUCCCAAAAAGGGUACGUAGGCAGAGGACUUGUCCUUCCAAAUCAAAUAAAAAUAACCAAAAACAUAAUUCUUCUCUCUCCAUUCUUUUACUUAGAUUUUUUAGGUAAUAAUUUUUCGAGUAAGCAAAAUGAAUUUAGCACAAGAUAAUCUAGGUAAGCGGUUCCUUCGGAGUACCGAAGUCGUUUAGGGUGCUUAACACCUUCCCUAUUCGAAACCAACCCCCGAAUCCAAAGUCUCGAUAAGGGUUUUUACUCAUUUUUUCCCUUCCCAUGAAUAAAAAUUGAGAGUUCAAAGAUUGACGAUUCAAAUCAAGUAAAUGGUUUGAUAUCCGAAAAUCGGGGAGCACAGAAUGGCGACUUCACUGGGGACUUAGUCUUACGCGGGUUAAACCCACCUUACUUGUUUUUUUACUUGUGCUUUAUUAUUUCUUAUGCCUUGUAAAUACAUGCCUAAAUGCUAUUGCUUUCACGUGAGUGGUGAGAUAAAGCUCCACACCCGAGCUUGAGGGAAAUAUAAGAUAGGAGUGGUAGACUCAUAGUGGCAUACCGAGAGUAUACUCGUGUCUUGUCACACGUGAGAUAACCACACUUAGCAAAGGAGCUUGAAGUAAUAUAUGUCGACGUGUGUUUUCACGUUUUAGACUUUAUUACUCUUAAGUUUCCAAUGAGGCUAAGAACCUUUUAGUAACCCUUAACCCAUCUUGGCCUUUUAGGAUGUAGUGCAGUGGCUAACCGAGUGUUUUCUCGGAAUUAGUCGACACGCGAUACUACACUCAAAGGAGACUUUCCUACGAACGUUGUUGGACCGGGUGUUUUCUCGGUAUCCGAUAAUAUUCGGAAGUGGUCAAUGACUUUGGGAACCUCGGUAGAACCGUUGUUACAAGUGCAAUUUAAACCAUAGUCCUUACCAAAUGGCGUUGUUACCCUUGGCUCCAACAUUGUGGGACUUAACCUCACCAUGUAUUCUAUGUAUAUGUACUUUAACAUAACCAUGCAUACAUGCAUUCAUUCAUGAAUAACUUUUUCCAUCAAAAAUUGAAGGACUUAGAUAAAUUUUUGUAAACAUCACGGAUAUGGACCUUGUAAGAAUGAACACCAAGAGAUACAGCUUCAAAAUCUUAACUAAGCUUUAACUUUUGUUAAGAACUCUUUCCUUGGUUUCGUUCUUACCUUUUGAAAAAGGAACCUAUUGCAAUAUCUUUAAAAUUUUCAAAUGAAACCAUGUUCCUCUACUGUGUUUACAUAUCAUCCAUCACUUUGCAUUCAUAGUUUCUAGUCCAUGUCUCAUAUUUUGUUUUUACCUACAAGAGGUCAAUCCAACAGUAAAGGGGUCAGAUGUCGUCAUCCAAGUUCGGCUCGCAUAUGCAGACACUCGUGCAAACAGGAAACAUGGAUCAGCUUGAGCAAGAAGUCCAGGAGCUUCGUGGAGAGGUAACAACACUUCGGGCUGAGGUAGAGAAGUUAGCUAGCCUAGUAUCCUCAUUGAUGGCUACAAACGAUCCACCGCUUGUCCAACAAAGGCCUCAAUCACCAUAUCAGCCAAUGUGCCCUCAAAAGCCUCGACAACAGGCUCCUCGGCAGUCUAUCCCUCAGAAUCAGGUUCCUCAGAAGUUCAUUCCGCAAAAUCAGGUCCAAAAAGCAUCUCAGUGUGACCCGAUUCCUAUGAAAUAUGCGGAUUUGCUUCCCAUUUUGCUUAAGAAGAACCUUGUUCAAACCCUACCACUUCCUCGGGUGCCGAAUUCGCUGCCACCUUGGUAUCGCCCUGACCUCAACUGUGUAUUCCAUCAAGGGGCACCAGGUCAUGACACUGAGCAGUGCUACCCUUUGAAAGAAGAAGUUCAGAAGUUGAUUGAAAAUAACGUCUGGUCCUUCGAUGACCAAGAUAUAAAAGUGCUACUUCAACAACAACAUCUGGCUCCUCACUCUGUUGCCGCUGUUAGACCCAUCACCAAUGUUGUUCAAGAUCCGGGUUAUCAACCCCAGUUUCGACCAAGUCAACAACAGUAUCCGGAUUCUCACUUUGUUACCACUAUUUUGCCCAUCAUGAAUGUUGUCCGCAAUCCGGGUUAUCAGCCCCAGUUUCAGCAAUAUCAACAACAGCCUCGACAACAGGCUCCAAGAAUUAAAUUUGAUCCGAUUCCAAUGAAAUAUGGGGAGUUGUUUCCCUAUUUGCUUGAGAGGAACCUUGUCCAGACUAGGCCACCUCCUCCAAUACCGAAGAAAUUGCCGGCUCGAUGGAGACCUGAUCUCUUUUGUGUUUUCCAUCAAGGGGCACAAGGUCAUGAUGUUGAGCGCUGUUUUUCUUUAAAGAUUGAAGUCCAGAAACUGAUCGAAGACGAUCUCAUACCUUUCGAAGAGUUUGGAUCUGAAUGUGCAAGUUAACCUGCUAUCGGAUUUUUGGACCUUGUGUUGACAUGUGGAGUGUUUAGCUACAAUUGGGCCUUUGCUAAUGUUUAUUUCUACUACUCUUUUGUUCAAUUAAUAUGUUUGUUUGUGGCUUUAUGUUUUUUUUAAAAUAUAAAAAAAAUCCUUUCGUCCCACCCGAGACGGAAGUGAACUUGUUUAGGGCUUUUUGCUGUAUCUAUUUUCAUCAUUAAUGAAAAGGCCGUCUUGGUCCCGACCUUCUUUUAUUUUGUGCUUUUUCUGGAAAAAUGGUAAUACAAAAAAUCAAAAAAAUUCUUUUUCUUUAAUCAUUUCCACAUAUCUGCAUAAUCAUAAUAUUUAUAUCAAUAAUCAAAUCAUGCAUUAAUAAACCCGUUGAACACUUAAACCUUGUACUCUCGCUCGACUUUGAGUUCCUUGUGUAUGAGGCUGAAGAAGAGGAUGAUGAAGAAACUUCCACUAAGAUUUCUCUCCUACUGGGGCAUCUUGGCCAUAGAAGCAGCAAAUAUCAAGAAAGAUUGUCCAAAAGAGGACUUUCAUGUACAAAGACUGGCACGAGAUGCUACCAUUUGUCUUGCAAGGAUAUUAUACUUCAAGUGCACACUUCAACAUGGGCAACCCACCCUCCAUCCCUCUGUAUAAAACAUAAACGCAGUGCCUCACAUGGAGGUCAAAGUCCCGUCAACGGGAGUUCCAAUGAAAGCUAAGCUUGAUUGAAUUUAAAAGUGUUACUGCCAUAUGGCGUGGACAGUUGUAUCAAAAGCAUGAAGCAAGUUUUCAACAAGAGAAGGCUCGUCCCCAUGAAUGUCAAGAGAGUGGCCUUGUGCUCAAAAGUUAUACUAUCUGAUUUAACCAAGUUCCAGGGGCAAUGAAUGCCUAAUACAAAGAAUGAGGGUAAACUUGUAUGUCCUGUGAAUACCGAUGCAGUCAAGAAAUACUUUGUUAAAAUGAAAAAGCUCGAUAAGUCGCAAACCUGAAAAGGCGGCUUAGGCAAAAAAAAAAAGAGCGUCUCGAUGGACUGAAAACCCAAAAGGGCGGUCCAUGCAAAAGUUAGAGACAUAUAUAAAAAAAAAAAUGAAAAAAUGAUGAUUAUCCUGAUAGGUUGAUACCCGCAAGGGCGAUCUAUGCAAAAGUUAAGGAUCAUGACAAAGUAACUGCAUCUGGUCGGACAUGACUCAUCUAGGGCAUUUCAGCCGUCAAAAGACUUCCGACUCAUGGUAAGGUAACUGCAUCUGGUCGGACAUGACUCAUCUAGGGCAUUUCAGCCGUCAAAAGACCUCCGACUCAUGGCAAGGUAACUACAUCAAAUCAGAUAUGAUUCAUCUGGGGCAUUUCAGCCGUCAAAAGACCUUCGACUCAUGGCAAGGUAAUUGCAUCAAAUCAGAUAUCAUUCAUCUGGGGCAUCUUAGCUGUUAAAGGGUUUCCGAUCUGAAGCGUCUGCAAAUCAAAGACUCAGAACAGUGAAAUUCAAAGUUGGUAGAGGAAACAGUGGUUAUUGUGUUCAAUGUACCCUUUCCAUUUAAUUACCAUUUUCCAAACUUUUAAAAUCCGUGGAACCACGCCUUUGGCAGGCCACCACUCCAUUUACAUUAACUUGAGCUUGUGCCCAUUUAUUUGAAAUUCUCAUUUAUUCUGUUUGCAAACUUUUCUUCUAUUUUUGAUGUUAAUACCUAAAGCAAAAAAAAAAUCUUUAAAAAAAAAAAAAAAAAAAAAAAAACUUUUAUCGUGCCUUCUGAAAAGCAUAAACAACAGGUACAUCUUCUUUGAACUUAUGAGCAGGUGAAACAUACAUCAACAUCCGUCUCAAGGACAGUUAAACUCUGCAAGGUUGGCAUGACUAAAAGCUGUGAGAUGACCUCUGUAAAAAAAAAAGGGUACAAAAAAAAAAAAAAAAAAAAAAAAAAAAAAGCUCGCUAAGUCGAAAACCCGAAAGGGCGGUUUAAGCCAAAAAUGAGCGUCCCGAUGGACUGAAAACCCGAAAGGGCGGUCCAGGCAAAAAUUAGGGGCAUACAAACAAAAAGAAUAUAUUCCCGAUGGAUUGAAGACCCGAAAGGGCGGUCCAGGCAAAAGUUAGGGAUUCAAAAAAAAAAUAUACAAAGAAAUGAAAAAAGACAGAGGCAUCACAGUUCAAGUUGGCCAAAUGGAAGAAUGCACUUUGUGUUGGCUUACAGAAUGGCGACCUCUGCCAGAUUUAUUAAUUGAUGGGCUUUAUCCCGAAAAAUUGCAACUUCUGCCUGUGGUUUGAUUGAUGGCAACUUCUGCAUGUGAUUUGAUUGAUGGCGACCCCUGCCAGAAUGGUUGAUUGAUGGGUUUCAUCCCGAUAAAUGGCGACUUCUACCCCAGUUUUUGAUCAUGAGGACUUACCCCAGCAGUAUGUUUAAGGGGCGGUACCCCAACAUUGGUUGAUCCAUCUCCCGUGACUUUAUCCCCAGUGAAGGCUUUGAGUGUUCGUACAGUGAUGCGGGGCUAUUCUCCUUGUAGACCUGCCUAGUCCUGUCUCAACAAUCUUACCAUUAUACCGUCAUAUGAGUCUCAUACAUAUUCAUUCAUUCAUGCAUACAAAGCACGCAUAUAAAUAUCAUCCAUACAUAGUUGCAUUUUUACCCAAUAUUUUGCUUCGUUAUCCUCAAAACGUGUCUAAACUCAGGUAUGUUAUAAAACCAAUCAUGUUUCAAAGUGGCAGGUCUCACCAGUAAUCAGUCUAUACAUACAUACAAUUCCCCUUUAGCUUCAUACAAAUUCUUUUUCCCCUAAGCUUUACCCUUAUCAAGUUACUCCUCAUUGAUACCAAGCUCUACAUUGUCUUUACUUUCACCGGAGGCUUUGCUUUUAGCAAAUGCUAAUGGUCCGUCCUGCCUUUAUUUUUACCGUGUGUUUGCUAUCCCACAAUGUUAGCAAACCCUGUCGGUCCGUCUUGUCUUUACUUUCACCGGAGGCUUUGCUUUUAGCAAAUGCUAAUGGUCCGUCUUGCCUUUAUCUUUUACCAUGUGUUUGCUAUCCCCCAAUGUUAGCAAACCCUGUUGGUCUGUCUUGCCUUUAUUUUUACCGUGUGUUUGCUAUCCCACAAUGUUAGCAAACCCUGUCGGUCCGUCUUGUCUUUACUUUCACCGGAGGCUUUGCUUUUAGCAAAUGCUAAUGGUCCGUCUUGCCUUUAUCUUUUACCGUGUGUUUGCUAUCCCACAAUGUUAGCAAACCCUGUCGGUCCAUCAUGUCUUUACUUUCGCCACUCGUCGGCAAAUCAUGUCUUUACUUUCGCCACACGUCGGCAAUCAAAUCAUGUCUUUACUUUCGCCACUCGUCGGCAAAUCAUGUCUUUACUUUCGCCACUCGUCGGCAAUCAAAUCAUGUCUUUACUUUCGCCACUCGUCGGCAAUCAAAUCAUGUCUUUACUUUCGCCACUCGUCGGCAAAUCAUGUCUUUACUUUCGCCACUCGUCGGCAAAUCAUGUCUUUACUUUCGCCACUCGUCGGCAAAUCAUGUCUUUACUUUCGCCACACGUCGGCAAAUCAUUUCUUUACUUUCGCCACUCGUCGGCAGUCAUGUCUUUACUUUCGCCACUCGUCGGCAAUCAUGUCUUUACUUUCGCCACACGUCGGCCAAUCAUGUCUUUACUUUCGCCACUCGUCGGCCAAUCAUGUCUUUACUUUCGCCACUCGUCGGCAAUCAAAUCAUGUCUUUACUUUCGCCACUCGUCGGCAAAUCAUGUCUUUACUUUCGCCACUCGUCGGCAAAUCAUGUCUUUACUUUCGCCACUCGUCGGCAAAUCAUGUCUUUACUUUCGCCACACGUCGGCAAAUCAUUUCUUUACUUUCGCCACUCGUCGGCAGUCAUGUCUUUACUUUCGCCACUCGUCGGCAAUCAUGUCUUUACUUUCGCCACACGUCGGCCAAUCAUGUCUUUACUUUCGCCACUCGUCGGCCAAUCAUGUCUUUACUUUCGCCACUCGUCGGCAAUCAAAUCAUGUCUUUACUUUCGCCACUCGUCGGCAAAUCAUGUCUUUACUUUCGCCACUCGUCCGCAAAUCCAGUUUUUACUUUCGCCACUCGUCUGCAAAUCAUGUCUUUACUUUCGCCACUCGUCGGCCAAGCAUGUCGUUACUUUCACCAUCGUCUAAACCAUGUCCUUACCUUUACAAUGGAAACAAUGUUAACAAACAUUAUGAUUCAUACUCCAGUCGUUUCAAGCUAUCUCACAGCAAUCUUAAGCAUUACCUAUCAUUUCUUUCCCCAGUGAUAUUUAUCCAAUUGUCCCCCAAUCAGUCUUUUAUGCAUCAUCUUUACAUUCAUGCUUGUAUCAUGUGCAGUCAUAUCAUCACAGUCAUCAGCAUUGCAUAUCUGGCAUUUCAAACGGUCCAAAAUUGGCGUCUUUUUAUAUUUAAGUCUCUUCGACCCUUUGGUUUAAAAGUUUUCCCUUUUAAAACCUUCGUGACGAAGAAACUUAAAUAGGGGCAUCUGUCAUACCCCAAAUUUGGCCCGUUUAAAAUUUUUUUUACUCGUUUUCUUUUACCAUUUAAAACUCAUUUAUUUGUCAUUUUUACUUUUCAUUUUUUGUUUUGUUUAUUAUUAUGUCAUUUUUUUUUAUUUUUCUUUGAAAAAAAAAAGAGAAAAAAAAAAAACAACAAAGAAAGGGGAGUCACUCACGUGACCCUUCCCUCUUUUCUUUCCUCCUUUCUUUUAUUUUAUUAUUAUUAUUAUUAUUAUCUUUUAUUUGUUAAACUUUGUCUCCAAGUUUUCAGCAGGGGCAUUUUUGGUAUUAGUUCUGUGCCUGAGCCAACCCUAGUUUGUCUCUAUAAAUACACUGUCAAUCAUUGGGAAAUGGGUCCGAAAUUACUGUUCAUGAGUCAGAGAAUUCUGCAGUCACCAAUCACCAUCAGAAACACCUUUCAUUUUCUCUUUCUUCCCUUUUUCAAAUCAGAUACACAAAAUUCACAAAGUUCAUCAUGAACAUCGUAUGAACAUGAUGAACACAGAUUUUUCCAGUAACAAAUUCCAGACUCAAAAUCAUCAAACAACAACAUUAUUUUCGUGAAUCCUACACCAGCAAUUUAUUUUCUUUCGAAAUCCAACAAACACAAAGAAUCACGAAAUCAAAGUAUAGAAGAAGGAGGAAACCGAACCGGAUUCAAGCAAGAGGAGGAGAACGAACCGGAUGCAAGCAAGAGGAAGGAGAACCGCGACGGAUUCAACUUGAGGUAAAAAUCUAAACUCAGAUCUACUCCUUUUGGGACUUGUUUUCAAAAAUCUAAGUUCGGAUUCAUGUAAAGCAGGAAAAAGGAUCUUUAAAAACGUAAAAAAAUUUUCGAACGGAGGUGUUUUGAUUCUCCGGCGCGGCGGCGCCGCCUGUUGGCCGGCGGCCACCACGCCGGAAACGGACCAGCUCGCCGGAGAAGAAGGCUGCACUUGCAGACCUUCUCUCACUAAAAAUGUUUUAGAGAGAGGGAGGAAGGAGGAAAUGAGAAAAAACCGGUCCAAAACUCCUUUUAUAAGCAUGUGUGAUCCGGUCUGGUUCAUCUGAACCGGACCGGUCCAUCUGAUUCCUCUUUCCCUUCUUUCUGAAUCAUUAGAUCUUUCCUCCUCUUUUAAUCUAACGGUCCUGUAUGUGUGAUCCAUGGUGAUACCUUGUACAUCUUCAAAUCUAGACUGAUUGAUCUUUAAUCUAACGGUCAGGGAUGAUUCUGUUUAGAUCACACGCGUGUUCUUUGUUUACAGUCUUCCGUGUUCUGUUUGUUUAACCGUUGGAUCUUAGAUCCUAUGGCUGUGAGGAGAUCUUGGGAUUCAGAUCUGGACCUCUGGAUUCAUCCAACGGUCCAGAUUAGAUCCUGCUGAGCCAAUUUUAUUUUUUUUUAAUUAAUUGUUCUUUAUCAUUUUUUAAUACUUUUUACACUUUUUUUUGACAUUUUAAUGCUUUUAAAAAUUCCAAAAAUAUUGUUCUUAUUAUCUUAAUUUUCUCUAAUUUUUUUUAAAACCCAUCCCAUUUGUUUUCUUUUAAAAUUUUCUAUUUAUUUCUUAUAUGAUGAUCUUAAUUGUUGCUUGUCUUUAUUCCUUGCUUUUUUAUUUCUUAUGUCUCAUUCAUCAUAAUAUUUCUUGUGAUUACUAACUAUUUAUUUAUUUAUUUUUUUUGUCUUGAAUCAUAGCAUGCACAUUUAAUUUUCCCAUUAUUUUAUUUUGUCAUUGACUUAGUGUGUAUAAAUAGGAAAUUGGUGUAAUUUUAUUUCUUGCAUUUUUAUUUUGGCAUAAAGGCCUUAGGGUCGUAUUUAGGAAUUGAUGUAAUAAUGUAGGUAACACAAGCACCGACACAUGCACCGACACUACCACGUUUUAUUUACCGCUUUCCGUUAGUUUUUACGACGUUACGUUAGUUUUCACCGUUAGUUUAGAAAAAAUCAUUUUCUCAAAAAGUCAAAUAUGCAAAACUUCAAAAAUCAUUUUCUUAAUAACAUUUUUCCUUUAUUUUUCUUAAUCAAACUCUCAAUCAAUUUUAAUUCAACUUCAAUCAUUUUCAAAAUUUAAAAUCAAUUAACCUCACUCAUUUCUUUUAUCUCAUGCCUUGAGGCCUCUUUCUCUUCUUAAAACCCAUUUCGAAAAAUCUUAAAAUCAACCUAACCCACUAAAGAAAUUUUUGAGUGGAACUACGUCGGUUUUGAUCCCUUUCCCAAAAAGGGUACGUAGGCAGAGGACUUGUCCUUCCAAAUCAAAUAAAAAUAACCAAAAACAUAAUUCUUCUCUCUCCAUUCUUUUACUUAGAUUUUUUAGGUAAUAAUUUUUCGAGUAAGCAAAAUGAAUUUAGCACAAGAUAAUCUAGGUAAGCGGUUCCUUCGGAGUACCGAAGUCGUUUAGGGUGCUUAACACCUUCCCUAUUCGAAACCAACCCCCGAAUCCAAAGUCUCGAUAAGGGUUUUUACUCAUUUUUUCUCUUCCCAUGAAUAAAAAUUGAGAGUUCAAAGAUUGACGAUUCAAAUCAAGUAAAUGGUUUGAUAUCCGAAAAUCGGGGAGCACAAUGAUCAUUUCACUCGAGAUUUAAAUUUGAAUUAUUUUCGACAAUUUGUUCUUAACUCAAUUUUAUCGACCGCUUACGACCACGUUAAUUUUAUAUAAUCAAUUUUCAACAACCACAACCAAGUAUGUAUGUGUAUGUGUCGAUGUUACAACAACUACAACCAAGUAUUAUCUCACUAAAUGAGGUUAGUUACAUGGAUCAAGUUUGGCUAUAAUGUUCUAUCAUAAAUUGUAUAUUGAUCCAACACAUUAAACUACCUUUCUUGGAUAAUGAAGAAACCAAAUCAUUCGAUCAAGGAAAUGUUAAAUGAGCAUAUUAUUGGAUAAUGCAUUAUAACAUUAUCUUUGAGAAACUCACUUGGGUUGACAUGAUGGUAUUGACUUGGGACCAGAGAGUGUGCUCCUCCUCAAGGUUUCGAUUCUCCUCGGUUUCAAUUUAGGUGGGAUAAUUUAACUUCUUCAAAAAACAUUAUAUUUGGGGCUGAAAAACUUCUUUUUUCUAAUGAAAAAAAUGAUUGAUUGUGAAGACUGGGAUCGGCCAUGUAUACCCAAACCUGUUAGGUACAUAGAUGAAAUUCAAUUCCUUAUCCCUAUUGGAUAUGUGUAACGGGUGAGUAUAUAGGUGUCAGAAAUAGAGAUAAGAGAUAAAACUCGUCCCCACUCCGCGCUAUUGUCAUGCUUAACAACGGCACGAUGAAAAAAGGUGGCACAUUGAAGAAGAGUAAAGGCUUUCUCACAUAAGGAAUCUUGGUAGAUGUGUAUCUCACUCAAAAGAGGAAUUAAUGCACAGUUAAAGAUAUUUGUGUUCAUCAAAGACGUUAACAAAAUGAUUCAAAUGUUAAAAAAGGUUUGGUUUGACACUUAUAAAACAUGAGGAUGAUGUAUUCAAUAGAGGGGAGGAGUGUAAGAAACAUGAAGAUGACAAGAAGAGUAUAGUCGAUCUCAAAGAAUUUUGUUUUCUAGAGGAAUAAAGAAGACCACAUCGGCUAAGGAAAAGGAUAUUGAAGGUGUGCUGUUUGAAAAACCCACUCAAAAAAAAAAAAAUGGUAAAACAUCUUAAACCUUUGUUCAUCAAAGCUUAUAUCAACGGAGAAAAAAUUAGCCGCUUCUAACCCUAAGAGCUAGGCAAAAAAAUAGAAGAGUUGAUCCCUACCAACAUAAAAAUUUCUAGCUUCGUGGGGGUAGCAUCUAAUGCACUAGUGGCAUUAAGUGAUGAUGUGGUAGCGGGACCAAAGGAUGUGAGAUUCACUUUCUUUGUUAUAGACGGCAAACCUUCAUAUUCUAUUAUUCUUGGCUGAGACCGGAUACAUACCAGUGAAUGUGUAACUUCUACACUUCACCAAAAGCUCACGUGUUGAGUAGACGAUAAAGUUGAAAUUGUGAAAGUUGACACAAACUCUUUAUCAACAGAGGUAAAAUUAUUCGAAGCUUUAUUUUAAUCGCCUCACCUAAAUCCUAUCGGUAUUCCUGAGGAACAUGAAGAAGGAGAAUUUGAAUGAUACAACCUCUAAUGAAGGUUUCCAACUAAAUGCUUAGGCCAACUAAAUUUAGAAGUCUAAGUGAAACUUUAAAAAAGAAAAAAAAUUAAAGGAUAAAAUAUAAUUUAAUCUUUCAAACAUAAGAAAUGUAAAAUAUCACAAUUUCCUUUUCUUUUUUCUACAUUAGGCAUGUAAUGAUUAUUGAUGGAGGAACAGGUCUGGCCAUUGUAUUAUUUUGCACGCUCUAAAGAUCUCACACACAUUCACAAACAAACUUUCUUAAUCACCUUUUUUCUGAUUUGUACUAUCUAUAGCCCACUCACCAUAAAACAACAAAACAUGAAAACACCAACACAUCAGUACAAGACAACCCUUAUAUUCCAUGCAAUGAAACAUUGAACCUAUCCAUAUAACCUCGGAUUAGGAUUUCAUGCUGUAAAUAUCACACGCAGUUGCACGCUGUAGUACAUCUCAGCCGUAAAUAUAAAAUUGGUCGGUCUAGAUUUUAAUCAUAGUUUCGCAUAAUAAAAUGAUUUCAGCCAUUAAUUUAAAACUCAUCAAUGUAGUUUAUUCAAUACUCAUCAAUAUACUCAUAGGUUACUAGUGUACUAUACUACAUGUAAUUAAUCCCUCUGCACACGUUGUUUCUUUAAUUUUGUACAACUCUGCACGUUGCUUUUAUUAUUCACAACUAUACACAUUGCUUUUAUUUUAAAGAAUAAGGCAUUUUCUUCAAUCACAAUGUCAAGCAAAAUAACGACACUUUUUCUUAAUUUGUUGAUAAAAUUAUGUAACAUUUUUUUUAUCAUUCAUUGAAAAUGGGUAAGUACAAAACAUAUUUUACAUAAUUUGAAACUAAACCUAGCUAUUGAUCAUCUUCCACAAUUUUUUAACCACGUUAUUGAUCCAAAUAGCAUUUAUUUUGUCGAUGACGAUGACUAAUCUCAAUCGAAAAUCUGGUUGGUUGGCUACCUUUAAUGGGUCUCAGCUUUCUAUCCGUCAAGUUCAAACCUGAAACCUUGCAUUGAUGAAUUCAAGCAUAGUUUGGAAUUCCGGCCAACAUAAGGUUGUCACAAUUUGCACUACAUUUCUAAAAUUCAUAUUAGAAAAACACACCUCAAUGGAUAGUUCAUUGAUCAAAACUUAGUGAAUAAUCAAAUUUCAAGAAAGAGGCCAAUUAAGGACAUCAUCAUACAUGAUAUCAGAAAUAUGGACACCUAAGUGAUCAUGAGAAUCAAGUGUUGAUGAUAGUGUGACAUCCUUUUCUGGAUCAUCAAAAGUGAGUCCAGAGAGGUAAUCAUUUGAAGAAGGAGGAGGAUGAACAACCUCUUCCUUGCACUCCUCCUUUUUCACUGAGAGAAAAGGACAGUCUUGUUUGGCUGGUGUUGGGAAAGAGUUGUCAAAACUAAGAAACAUGGAAGAGUGAUCAGUAGGAUAAUCU
Molecule: long non-coding RNA, 17572 nt
Filed under: Medicago truncatula (barrel medic)
Lineage: Eukaryota; Viridiplantae; Streptophyta; Magnoliopsida; Fabales; Fabaceae
Description: long non-coding RNA (MTRU_LNC005278)
Source: RNAcentral